This 582-nucleotide ribosomal RNA is filed under the name proteobacterium StTD608. Its description in RNAcentral is "bacterial SSU rRNA". It matches the Rfam family "Bacterial small subunit ribosomal RNA", at positions 102 to 680 of the family's 1533-position model. The record is from RNAcentral. Lineage: Bacteria; Pseudomonadati; Pseudomonadota.
ACGGGUGAGUAAUACAUCGGAACGUGCCCAGUUGUGGGGGAUAGCCCGGCGAAAGCCGGAUUAAUACCGCAUACGACCUACGGGUGAAAGCGGGGGAUCGCAAGACCUCGCGCAAUUGGAGCGGCCGAUGGCAGAUUAGCUUGUUGGUGGGGUAAAAGCCUACCAAGGCGACGAUCUGUAGCUGGUCUGAGAGGACGACCAGCCACACUGGGACUGAGACACGGCCCAGACUCCUACGGGAGGCAGCAGUGGGGAAUUUUGGACAAUGGGCGCAAGCCUGAUCCAGCCAUGCCGCGUGUGGGAAGAAGGCCUUCGGGUUGUAAACCACUUUUGUCAGGGAAGAAACGGUCUAAUCUAAUAAAUUGGACUAAUGACGGUACCUGAAGAAUAAGCACCGGCUAACUACGUGCCAGCAGCCGCGGUAAUACGUAGGGUGCAAGCGUUAAUCGGAAUUACUGGGCGUAAAGCGUGCGCAGGCGGCUAUGCAAGACAGAUGUGAAAUCCCCGGGCUCAACCUGGGAACUGCAUUUGUGACUGCAUGGCUAGAGUACGGCAGAGGGGGAUGGAAUUCCGCGUGUAGCA